This is a long non-coding RNA of Lemur catta (Ring-tailed lemur), 399 nucleotides long. RefSeq lists it as uncharacterized. The transcript has 3 exons. The record is from RefSeq and is a predicted model, not a curated record. NCBI's taxonomy places the organism in Eukaryota, Metazoa, Chordata, Mammalia, Primates, Lemuridae.
CCUGGCUGCAGCAUGUGUGUGUGGUCACAGGCAGGGAGGCGAGAAGCUGAAAUCAAUCCAGGCAGCCUGGUGGCCAACCCAGGAGUUGAGUUAAGUGGAUGGAGGAGUCCAGAGCGUAAGGCCCAAGAGGUCGUAGACCUUUCUCUGUCUGUUCAUCAUGUGAUCUCCAGCAUCUGGAAGAGUCUGGCACAAAGACUUCCACGCAUUUGGAGAUUUUCCUGAGCUGGGAGGUGAGCAAACAUAUCGUUCUUUUGAUCUUAACACUUCCCUAAGAAACAGCUACUAACAUGGGUCAUGGUGUCAGUGGCAGUUGCAUGAUUCUUUGAUUCAUGAUUCUCUGACUCAGCUUCGAUAUACUGGAGCAUCAGGGUGGAGCAGCCGGGUGUGGAAGUGGUAAGA